CGCGGGGUGGAGCAGCCCGGUAGCUCGUCAGGCUCAUAACCUGAAGGUCGCAGGUUCAAAUCCUGCUCCCGCAACCA
This 77-nucleotide transfer RNA is filed under the name Caulobacter sp. Its description in RNAcentral is "tRNA-Met". It matches the Rfam family "tRNA". Rfam says of the family: Transfer RNA (tRNA) molecules are approximately 80 nucleotides in length. Their secondary structure includes four short double-helical elements and three loops (D, anti-codon, and T loops). Further hydrogen bonds mediate the characteristic L-shaped molecular structure. tRNAs have two regions of fundamental functional importance: the anti-codon, which is responsible for specific mRNA codon recognition, and the 3' end, to which the tRNAs corresponding amino acid is attached (by aminoacyl-tRNA synthetases). tRNAs cope with the degeneracy of the genetic code in two manners: having more than one tRNA (with a specific anti-codon) for a particular amino acid; and 'wobble' base-pairing, i.e. permitting non-standard base-pairing at the 3rd anti-codon position. Lineage: Bacteria; Pseudomonadati; Pseudomonadota; Alphaproteobacteria; Caulobacterales; Caulobacteraceae. The record is from RNAcentral. RNAcentral also lists the same sequence under 5 other names.